GUGAACGCUGGCGGUAGGCCUAACACAUGCAAGUCGAACGGCAGCACAGUAAGAGCUUGCUCUUACGGGUGGCGAGUGGCGGACGGGUGAGGAAUACAUCGGAAUCUACUUUUUCGUGGGGGAUAACGUAGGGAAACUUACGCUAAUACCGCAUACGACCUACGGGUGAAAGCAGGGGAUCUUCGGACCUUGCGCGAUUGAAUGAGCCGAUGUCGGAUUAGCUAGUUGGCGGGGUAAAGGCCCACCAAGGCGACGAUCCGUAGCUGGUCUGAGAGGAUGAUCAGCCACACUGGAACUGAGACACGGUCCAGACUCCUACGGGAGGCAGCAGUGGGGAAUAUUGGACAAUGGGCGCAAGCCUGAUCCAGCCAUACCGCGUGGGUGAAGAAGGCCUACGGGUUGUAAAGCCCUUUUGUUGGGAAAGAAAAGCAGCAGGUUAAUACCCCGCUGUUCUGACGGUACCCAAAGAAUAAGCACCGGCUAACUUCGUG
This 491-nucleotide ribosomal RNA is filed under the name uncultured bacterium. RNAcentral's name for it is "partial 16S ribosomal RNA". It matches the Rfam family "Bacterial small subunit ribosomal RNA", at positions 29 to 507 of the family's 1533-position model. The record is from RNAcentral.